UCCCCGUUAUCCUGGGCAGUCCUUCCAGAGUUCCCUGCAUGACCCGUUGGCAACUGGAAGCAGGGGUUGCGCUCGUUGCGGGACUUAACCCAACACCUCACGACACGAGCUGACGACAGCCAUGCAGCACCUGUAUGAAAGUCAGUACCAUCCCGUUAAGGACUGGUUUUGUUGUUCAUAUGUCAAGGGCUGGUAAGGUUCUGCGCGUUGCGUCGAAUUAAACCACAUGCUCCACCGCUUGUGCGGGCCCCCGUCAAUUCCUUUGAGUUUCAGCCUUGCGGCCGUACUCCCCAGGCGGGGCACCUCAUGCGUUAGCGCCGGUACCCCAGGGGUCGCUCCCCAGAGCACCUAGUGCCCAUCGUUUACGGCGUGGACUAC
Molecule: unclassified non-coding RNA, 378 nt
Filed under: uncultured bacterium
Lineage: Bacteria
Description: contains 16S-23S intergenic spacer region
Source: RNAcentral